Molecule: long non-coding RNA, 348 nt
Organism: Etheostoma spectabile (orangethroat darter)
Lineage: Eukaryota; Metazoa; Chordata; Actinopteri; Perciformes; Percidae
Exons: 3
Source: RefSeq, a predicted model, not a curated record
CAAAGUAGGACUUGAAAUCAAGUACAUCAGUGCUGUAAAAGGUCGUGGCAUCUUCACCUCUGUUCCAUUUGAAAAGGGAGACUGUCUGUUGGAAUACAGAGGUGAGCUGAUAACUAAGCAAGAAUGUGAGAGGAGACAGAGAAUAUACCAUGACCUCCUCAAAGUGUUAAUGUUCAAGUUCAGUUUUGAUGGAAAACUGUGGUGUGUUGAUGCAGCAAAAAAGAAUGGAUCGUUUGGCAAACUUGUAAAUGACGACCAUAUAAACCCUAAUGCCAAGAUGAAGUACAUCGCUAUGCAAGGGAAGCCCCAUCUCUGCUUGUUUGCAGUUGGAGACAUAAAUCCAGGAGA